AGGGCACCACCAGGAGUGGAGCCUGCGGCCUAAUUUGACUCAACACGGGAAAACUCACCCGGCCCGGACACUGGAAGGAUUGACAGAUUGAGAGCUCUUUCUUGAUUCAGUGGGUGGUGGUGCAUGGCCGUUCUUAGUUGGUGGAGUGAUUUGUCUGGUUAAUUCCGAUAACGAACGAGACUCUAGCCUACUAAAUAGAUCGUCGGCUUACAAACGCCGACGAGACUUCUUAGAGGGACAGGCGGUGAUUCAACCGCACGAAACAGAGCAAUAACAGGUCUGUGAUGCCCUUAGAUGUCCGGGGCCGCACGCGCGCUACACUGAAGUGAUCAGCGUGCAUUUUCAGCCUACUCUGUCAAGAGUGGGAAACCCAAUGAACCUUCUUCGUGAUUGGGAUAGGGGAUUGUAAUUAUUCCCCUUGAACGAGGAAUUCCCAGUAAGCGCGAGUCAUAAGCUCGCGUUGAUUACGUCCCUGCCCUUUGUACACACCGCCCGUCGCUACUACCGAUUGAAUGUUUU
RNAcentral lists this ribosomal RNA (519 nucleotides) under uncultured eukaryote. Its description in RNAcentral is "SSU rRNA". It matches the Rfam family "Eukaryotic small subunit ribosomal RNA", at positions 1161 to 1699 of the family's 1831-position model. The record is from RNAcentral.